ACCCGUUUAGCUCAUCCGGAAGAGCGCCUGACUCUGGAUCAGGAGGUGCCAGGUUCGAGACCUGGAGCGGGUGC
RNAcentral lists this transfer RNA (74 nucleotides) under compost metagenome. RNAcentral describes it as "tRNA-Gln". It matches the Rfam family "tRNA". From Rfam's summary of the family: Transfer RNA (tRNA) molecules are approximately 80 nucleotides in length. Their secondary structure includes four short double-helical elements and three loops (D, anti-codon, and T loops). The record is from RNAcentral.